Molecule: ribosomal RNA, 204 nt
Filed under: uncultured bacterium
Lineage: Bacteria
Description: partial 16S ribosomal RNA
Rfam family: Bacterial small subunit ribosomal RNA
Source: RNAcentral
AUUGUAGUCUGCAACCCGACUACAUGAAGCUGGAAUCGCUAGUAAUCGCAGGUCAGCAUACUGCGGUGAAUACGUUCCCGGGUCUUGUACACACCGCCCGUCACACCAUGGGAGCCGGUAACGCCCGAAGUCAGUGACCCAACCGAGAGGAGGGAGCUGCCGAAGGCGGGACAGGUAACUGGGGUGAAGUCGUAACAAGGUAAC